This 433-nucleotide ribosomal RNA is filed under the name uncultured bacterium. RNAcentral's name for it is "partial 16S ribosomal RNA". It matches the Rfam family "Bacterial small subunit ribosomal RNA", at positions 29 to 507 of the family's 1533-position model. The record is from RNAcentral.
AACGAACGCUGGCGGCAUGCCUAACACAUGCAAGUCGAACGAGACCUUCGGGUCUAGUGGCGCACGGGUGCGUAACGCGUGGGAAUCUGCCCUUGGGUUCGGAAUAACAGUUGGAGACGACUGCUAAUACCGGAUGAUGACGUAAGUCCAAAGAUUUAUCGCCCAAGGAUGAGCCCGCGUAGGAUUAGCUAGUUGGUGAGGUAAAGGCUCACCAAGGCGACGAUCCUUAGCUGGUCUGAGAGGAUGAUCAGCCACACUGGGACUGAGACACGGCCCAGACUCCUACGGGAGGCAGCAGUGGGGAAUAUUGGACAAUGGGCGAAAGCCUGAUCCAGCAAUGCCGCGUGAGUGAUGAAGGCCUUAGGGUUGUAAAGCUCUUUUACCCGGGAUGAUAAUGACAGUACCGGGAGAAUAAGCUCCGGCUAACUCCGUG